This 262-nucleotide ribosomal RNA is filed under the name uncultured prokaryote. RNAcentral describes it as "partial 16S ribosomal RNA". It matches the Rfam family "Bacterial small subunit ribosomal RNA", at positions 524 to 784 of the family's 1533-position model. The record is from RNAcentral.
UACGUAGGGUGCGAGCGUUGUCCGGAAUUACUGGGCGUAAAGAGCCCGUAGGUGGUUUGUCACGUCGUCUGUGAAAUUCCGGGGCUUAACCUCGGGCGUGCAGGCGAUACGGGCAAUACUUGAGUGCUGUAGGGGAGACUGGAAUUCCUGGUGUAGCGGUGAAAUGCGCAGAUAUCAGGAGGAACACCAAUGGCGAAGGCAGGUCUCUGGGCAGUUACUGACGCUGAGGAGCGAAAGCAUGGGUAGCGAACAGGAUUAGAUA